Molecule: non-coding RNA, 582 nt
Organism: Chiloscyllium plagiosum (whitespotted bambooshark)
Lineage: Eukaryota; Metazoa; Chordata; Chondrichthyes; Orectolobiformes; Hemiscylliidae
Source: RefSeq, a predicted model, not a curated record
UAUUACCUUUGAAGGAAAGUAUUAGUCAGGCAGAUCUGCUUCUGUUAUGAGCUAUUUUCUGAGAACUCAGCAGCUCUCUAUGAAAAAUUCCGUGUGCUCAUUUGAUUUACUUUUAGUAAUUAAAGCGCAUUUUGUAACUAAAGUGAUUAUAAUCAACCAGAAAAUGUCUGUAGGUUGCCAAUGUCCGUGUGGGAUCACAAGUCUUGCUUAAGGAGCAAAAAGAAAUCCAUAACCUGUUUGUUAAUCAAACGACGAUGAAGACUGAGCAGAUUUCAAAUUGGGUACCCUGACGUCAGAGGAGUAGACUCCCUCCUGGGCCUGUAAACAUUUCUUCAAGCCUCAGCUGGGGCAAAACAAUAGCACGAGUGGAUAUUCCUUCGAGGCCCAGCUUAUUAUUUGAGACAGCUGCCUGGAAGUCUCAAAACACAAGGAGCUUCCUGAUCUGGAAAACAUCUGAGUUAACUUCGAUGGCGGGGAUAUUCACAUUCCCAGUAAACCUCGGGAAAGAGGCACUUCAAUCCUCUCCAUGACCUGGUGCUCCAGGGCAAAUGGAUGGAGCUAAUUUGAAAUGGUUGCAAACGG